CUACCACAAAAAUCAGAUAUUUCAUCCCUCGUCUAAAGCUAAAUAAGAAAACAAGCUUGUGGUAUAAACAACCAGAGGUGUUACUAUAAUGAUACUGAAUAAUGCAUUUUUGCAAACAGGCCGGAGCGAUUUUUACAUGUGGUUGUCCCAACCGCAUGCACCAAAUCGUCUACAAAAAUAAAAAUCUUUACAUGCGGCCAGGCCACCCGCAUGCGAGAAUCCGAUUUUCGCAUGCGGGCGCUUAAGCCGACCGCAUGCAAAGAGGAAAAAUCAUGAAAAAAAUAAAUUCAUAAAAUAAAAAAUGAAAAAAACCUAGCGCUGCCGCCGCCCGAGCUCGUCAUCGCN
RNAcentral lists this long non-coding RNA (345 nucleotides) under Oryza brachyantha (malo sina). RNAcentral's name for it is "long non-coding RNA (OBRA_LNC000208)". The record is from RNAcentral. Lineage: Eukaryota; Viridiplantae; Streptophyta; Magnoliopsida; Poales; Poaceae.